UGGGGAAUUUUCCGCAAUGGGCGAAAGCCUGGCGGAGCAAUGCCGCGUGGAGGUGGAAGGCCUACGGGUCGUCAACUUCUUUUCUCGGAGAAGAAACAAUGACGGUAUCUGAGGAAUAAGCAUCGGCUAACUCUGUGCCAA
RNAcentral lists this ribosomal RNA (141 nucleotides) under uncultured bacterium. RNAcentral's name for it is "partial 16S rRNA". It matches the Rfam family "Bacterial small subunit ribosomal RNA", at positions 355 to 511 of the family's 1533-position model. The record is from RNAcentral.